Molecule: long non-coding RNA, 3311 nt
Filed under: Pan troglodytes (chimpanzee)
Lineage: Eukaryota; Metazoa; Chordata; Mammalia; Primates; Hominidae
Description: long non-coding RNA NONPTRT013858
Source: RNAcentral
AGAGAGACGAUUCCACUUUUCACAGUCUCUAACAGUAAUCCACGACUUCUUAUUCUCCUUGAAGGAAAGCCCAGAAAAGUUUCAGAUUGAAGCCAAUUUUCCCAGGCGAGUGCUGCCCUGCAUCCCUUCAGAGGAGUGGCCCAAUCCCCCUACGCUGCAGGAGGCCGGACUCAGCCACACAGAAGUUCUUUUUGUUCAGGACCUAACUGAUGAAUGACAUUUUCUUCUUCCUGUCCCCUCCUACCCCAGUCCCUAAAAGAAAUGGGGAAAAAAGAAAACAACAACAACAAGUCAGAAAAAAAAAAAAGAGAGAGAGAAAUUCAUAUUAUUAUUAUUAUUAUAAUACAAUAUUUUUUUUAAAAGACUGCUGCAUCCUUAGGAAGGAUCAGAAACCAUGCUGCCCGUAAGAGUCACAACCUGUGUGUGCGCGCAAGGUUAGCAACAAACGUACCCGCUCGGCAAGCCCACCCUUCCUGUGGCCUCUGUGCACGCACCUUCCAGUGAACAGAGACUCUUCACCUUCGACCCAUCCAUUGUCCCAGCUGGGAAGGGGACAUUCCCACUAGUUCUCAUUCAUUCUUGCUUUUAUGAAAAAUAAAAGUGAAAAACCUCCAUCAACCAGCUACUUGCAGCAUCUCCUGAGGACUUGCUUCUCCUGCCUCUGGGGAAGAGAGGGAAGAGAAAGCACAGAGCAGAGAAGCAGAGAUGUUCCUUGAACUGCCCACCAGUUUUCAAUAACUUUUAUUUCUGUUUUGUAAUGACCAAAGGAAUGAGGCUGACAUAGGUAUAUAUAUAUAUUUUUCCUUUAUUUGAUAAAGAGCCAAUUCUUUAAACCCAUGAGUUUAUGCCCUGGGCUCCUUAGCCCACAAUAGUGUAAUAAAAGUGCCCCGGGCUGGUUUGUGCUUAUUUCUGCCAUUGUCCCUCUCACGUUCCCAGAGAGGUCAUUCUUUUUGGUCCAACUCUUGCUGUCCUUUCUUACCACCUGUGCACCCCACUUGGAGCAGUGGGAGGAAAUCUGGGUUUGUGGCCCCACAAAGGCUGUAUAUGUAAAGAUACACCUAUGUAUGUGGUGGAACUCACCUUUACACACAACUGCAGCUUUUCCUUGGAGUCUGUACCAGGUGGUGGUUAUGGGGUCUGAACCAAAGGAUAGCAGCUCUUCAUUCCUCUUCUGACAUGUGCAUGCUGCUCCUCCCAGCCCUGGGCUUUCCUGAAUUGCCAAGCCUGGUGCCUUUCCAAAGGACUAGCAGGGCCUGUGGUGGAGCCAGCAGAACCACAGGAGAGUGCCCUGCCUGUCUCAGUGGAAGUGUAUUAUUGUUUUAAGGAUAGAACCAGAGGCCUUGAAGGGAGCCAAGACAGAACUCCCAGCCUGUGUAAUCUAUUGGAAGGCACAUUUUCAUUUCUGAUGCAGCCACCUUCUGGAGGCAGCUUUUAUCCUUUCUCUCUAUUGCUAUGUUGAAGUAAUAGGGUUUUUUUUAACCUCUGGAUGUCUCGUCUGUGGUUGAGUUUAUGGUAAUGGGUACAUGGGUCAGGCCAUGUAUUAACAGAUGCCAGUGCGCUCUGACAAGUAUUCCAAAGUGUUCUGUAGCUAGACUGGUGCAGGCUCGUUGUACCACUGCAACCGACUGACGUUACUGUAGUUCCUAGAAUGCUGUGAGGGCAGGGGGGUUCAGAUCAACAUAAAGCCUAACUUGCUGGAGUUGUAGUCUCAAGGCUUUCUCUCUUGCUUAACUAAAACCUAAGGACCACUGUUUUUGGUAGCAAUUAUAUGGUUACUAUCCACUGCAGUCCUCAGUUGUUGGGGUAAAUCCCACAUGGCAGAGUAAGGCACCCCACAGAAAUUAACUUGGAGAGCCUGAGAAAUUCCCAGUGGCCUUGGCAUAGCUGUCUAGAACACCAUCUCUAGGAAAAUUUAAUUCUGUCCCUGGCCAGCUAUUGUUCUUCCACUUCGUUUUCUGCUGUCCCAAGGCCAGAUGAGUGGAAUCACCAUCUGACUGUUGUCAAUAAAAUGUAUCUGGCGUGAACAGCAGGAUAACCCAUGUUCUCCACGUAAGGAUAACCUUACGUGAAACCUUCCUGCUGACAACCAUGCAGAGGAAUUUUUCCACUUAAGUCAGAGCCUUCCUCCCCAUCUGGAAUUCACAGCUGUUCCCUGGCAGCACACAGGAGGGUAUUAAGGACCUUUGUGAGGCUAGGUACACUAUCCACACCUCUUUGGGGAAGUUACGAUUUUUUGUUUCCAUCAUAAUUCAGUCUCUUCUUACUCUACAGUGUGCACUUUAUGCCUCUCGCCUUUUGAUAAUAGUUGUUCAGUGAAGGAAGUCAGCUGCCAGAAAAGAAGGUCUCCCUUUAUGUCAGUACAACUGUUAGGGCGGCCUUCCCAUUUACUUUAGGUUUCAAGAGGAUUCACCGGAAGCACAUGCCCCGGUCUAGUCCCAUUUGAAACAGUUCUGCUUUACUGAGACCCUAGGCCGGUCUCCUUGCUGACCCUAGCGCUGCUGCCUAGGUGCCAUUUCCUUUCCUCCUCAGUCAAAUACAGGCUGCACAUUUUGUCACUUAAUGCCAGUACAAUCUGUGUUACUCCUAAGGACUUUUGGGAUUUCGAUGAGACCUGCGAGGGAGAAGACACUGAGAAGCCGGUGAUCUGUAAGCAUUUGCUCUUGUUUCCACAUCACCUCUGGGAUAUUUCAGCUGUUGUUUCCAAAUGGCAAGUCAUCAACUAAAAGCACUUGUUUCAAGUUUUGUUCUGCACUCCCACGACUGAAGUUGUAGAUUGAGCUGAAUAACCAUGGGAAGUGACCAAGCAAAGACACUCGAUUGGAGUCAGUUGAAUAUUUGUACCCUCAGUGGAGCCCUUCUGGUCUUUUCUUCCACUUCUGCAGAAUUUCCUCUAGCAAAUACUUCUUUCUCCUUGCUUGCCUCCACCAUGAUUUUGAAUAAGAGAUGGCCAGAGGAUAACACUUGUCUCUUAAAAACUAAGCUAAAAAGAACCUAGAACCUUCAACUGAGCAGUUGUGAAAAUUGCUAAUGGUGCCAAGGCCAAGCAAAGAGUUUCAGAAAAUGACUGAGAAGGAGCGAUAACCCCCAGAACGCAAAAUCAGGGGCAUCAUUAUCCGGUGCUUGAACAAGGAGCUCCGCUCUACAACUGGUUUUUUAGGACUUGUGAGGAACGCAGCAACGGAAAUCCAUCCACAAAGGAUGCAGUGCCCCAACUUGUACUGCGCCUGAAUAGUCAUGUGAUAAUUUACUGAAGAAAUCUAGUGUACUUUAAAUUUUUUUCAUAAAAGUUUACAUUGUAUUGUAGGUUAACA